UGCGUAGGCGGUCCUAUAAGUCAGUGGUGAAAGACGGCAGCUUAACUGUCGCAGUGCCUUUGAUACUGUAGGACUUGAAUCUAUUUGAAGUGGGCGGAAUAAGACAAGUAGCGGUGAAAUGCAUAGAUAUGUCUUAGAACUCCGAUUGCGAAGGCAGCUCACUAAGUUAGUAUUGACGCUGAUGCACGAAAGCGUGGGGAUCAAACAGGAUUAGAUACCCUGGUAGUCCACGCCCUAAACGAUGAUAACUCGAUGUUUGCGAUACACAGUAAGCGUCCAAGCGAAAGCGUUAAGUUAUCCACCUGGGGAGUACGGUCGCAAGAUUGAA
Molecule: ribosomal RNA, 328 nt
Filed under: uncultured Bacteroidota bacterium
Lineage: Bacteria; Pseudomonadati; Bacteroidota
Description: bacterial SSU rRNA
Rfam family: Bacterial small subunit ribosomal RNA
Source: RNAcentral